This 326-nucleotide ribosomal RNA is filed under the name uncultured eukaryote. Its description in RNAcentral is "partial 18S ribosomal RNA". It matches the Rfam family "Eukaryotic small subunit ribosomal RNA", at positions 1470 to 1796 of the family's 1831-position model. The record is from RNAcentral.
CCCUUAGAUGUUCUGGGCCGCACGCGUGCUACACUGAGUGGAUCAGCGGGUCAGGUUGCGCGAAAGCGUUUCCUAAUCUUUAAAUCCGCUCGUGAUGGGGAUUGACGGUUGCAAUUUUCUGUCAUGAACGAGGAAUACCUUGUAAGCGCGGGUCAUCAUCCCGCGCUGAAUACGUCCCUGCCCUUUGUACACACCGCCCGUCGCUCCUACCGAUUGAGUGGUCCGGUGAGAUAAUCGGACAGAUAACUUGGCAACUGGCAACAGUUGACGUGCAUAUUUGGAAGACGAUCAAACUUGGUCAUUUAGAGGAAGUAAAAGUCGUAACA